Molecule: long non-coding RNA, 561 nt
Organism: Etheostoma spectabile (orangethroat darter)
Lineage: Eukaryota; Metazoa; Chordata; Actinopteri; Perciformes; Percidae
Exons: 6
Source: RefSeq, a predicted model, not a curated record
UUUCCAUAAUAAACUACAGGCAUAUUUGCGCUUGACUGUAAAUGAUGCAGUACAGGUACAGUUAUUUACUGUUGAAUGCGUUGCACGAGGCAGUUGCUUUACACAAGACCAUUUGAUGGCGGAUUGCUGAGGAGCCACAUUGCCACUCCACUCAGCCACAAUACGCAUGUAGCAGAAGUAGCUAACGCUACCGGACGGUCAGGCGCCCCGGAGUCGGGUCGUUGCCUAGCCACAGGGAGGAGAAACAUCCUGAACAGAGCGCCAUCGCUGCACAGUGAUCAACAUACAUGGCUGAAGAAUCUUUUCAGGUGAAUUGCUCACAGCAACCGUUUGGAUGCUGAGCAUCGGGGGUCAGGUGGUUGUGCCUCCACAUCCCAACUUCGUGGCUGGGAUGGCAGCUUUGUUUUCGAGCUACUACAUCUUUAAUCUGGUGUACCCGGAGCAAGCAUCUUGUACACUAAAAUUCAUUCAAAGAUGCUUCAUCGUACUGAACCCUUCAAGUGGAACCAAGACAACAAAAGUGUUGAGCCAAAAACAUGAGAACAUACAGGAGAAAGAGAG